Molecule: transfer RNA, 72 nt
Filed under: Candidatus Levyibacteriota bacterium
Lineage: Bacteria; Candidatus Levyibacteriota
Description: tRNA-Glu
Rfam family: tRNA
About the family: Transfer RNA (tRNA) molecules are approximately 80 nucleotides in length. Their secondary structure includes four short double-helical elements and three loops (D, anti-codon, and T loops).
Source: RNAcentral
GGCCCCAUAGUCUAGUGGUUAGGACACUUGGUUCUCAUCCAAGAAACCCGGAUUCGAAUUCCGGUGGGGUCA